This 176-nucleotide ribosomal RNA is filed under the name Escherichia coli. RNAcentral's name for it is "partial 16S ribosomal RNA". It matches the Rfam family "Bacterial small subunit ribosomal RNA", at positions 1 to 170 of the family's 1533-position model. The record is from RNAcentral. RNAcentral also lists the same sequence under 5 other names. Lineage: Bacteria; Pseudomonadati; Pseudomonadota; Gammaproteobacteria; Enterobacterales; Enterobacteriaceae.
AAAUUGAAGAGUUUGAUCAUGGCUCAGAUUGAACGCUGGCGGCAGGCCUAACACAUGCAAGUCGAACGGUAACAGGAAGAAGCUUGCUUCUUUGCUGACGAGUGGCGGACGGGUGAGUAAUGUCUGGGAAACUGCCUGAUGGAGGGGGAUAACUACUGGAAACGGUAGCUAAUACC